Molecule: long non-coding RNA, 941 nt
Organism: Triticum aestivum (bread wheat)
Lineage: Eukaryota; Viridiplantae; Streptophyta; Magnoliopsida; Poales; Poaceae
Exons: 3
Source: RefSeq, a predicted model, not a curated record
GUCAAUGCAAAUGUAAUUAUGAUCAUGCAUCAACAGGAGCAAUCCUCAUUUUAUUUGAACAUUCAGGUGUCUUUCUCUUGCAUGGUGGCAUUGCUCUAUUAUUUGCAUUGCUAAAGCUUGGUCAUGGAAGAUGUUCUACCCGAGAGAAAAGAUACAAUGAGUCAACUAUACAAAUGAUUCUAUGAAUAUUCAGUACAUGCUUCUCUGAAUUUCGGUAAAGGUUGGUGGUACUGCUUAUCUGAAUUAACUUAUAUCUAACGGUCAUGGAAACAUCAAUACAGACAUUUAUGAACACUGUCAAGGUAAUCAUUGAGAAUUGUACCAACUGAUGCACAUUGUGAUUCCAGCUUCUGGAAAGAAAGGAACUACUCCCUCUGUCCCAUAAUAUAAGAGCGUUUUUGACACUAAUGUAGUGUUAAAAACGCUCUUACAUUAUGAGACAUAGGGAGUAUAUGCUACUUGCAUAAGCAGUUUUUUGACUUGCGGGUUAUUUUCGAGGAGAAUACCACUGAAAAAGUUGGAGCCUCUGUCAAAAUAUUAACAUGUGGCAGGUUGCUCUAUAUAUAUCCAUACAAAAGAGGAUUCGUGUUACAUUAUAGACGGCAAACAAGGCCAGACGUGUGCUCCUUGCUGCCAGCUCCGCCCUCCUCCACCCUAUCUCCUCGGAACGGGCAGCUCCAUCCAUCGGUACCUAGAAGCACAGAGGUUCGCCUCUACCACGAUGGCCACAUCACUGCAACCGAAACUCCACCAUUGUCCAGCCACCGACCCAGUGCAGCUCGACUCAAUCUGGACCAUAACCUCUCUGGGUGUUAGCAACAAUGUAUCUUCAGAAAUAAGCUUUGUUCAUGUAUAUUAUCUCUUUCAAUUUGAAAGAGAAGACAAGAAUAGUUUCAUUAUGGUUGUUCUGAAGGAAUGACAAGGCCAUUGAUGUUGUCAAG